Molecule: long non-coding RNA, 264 nt
Filed under: Hordeum vulgare
Lineage: Eukaryota; Viridiplantae; Streptophyta; Magnoliopsida; Poales; Poaceae
Description: long non-coding RNA (HVUL_LNC018334)
Source: RNAcentral
UGCAAAAUUUUGCGAUAAGAUAUAAUUGGAGUUUUAUUUUUGCCUCAGUGCCUGAAAGCUAAUUUCUGCUAGGGUGGUAGUUAAGUAAACUUGGCGUUCUACUUUUAUCCCAAUGGUGGUGCAUUGAUGGCUUAAUUGAGUCCCAGCCCACAAUGAGACAUUCUUAGUUUGCUCUUAAAAUUUACAUUCUUCAUUUUUGACUCUCAAGGCUAGGGAUGAAAAUGGAGUGAAAACUUUCCACUUUUCUGAAGGAAAAAUGAAAAC